GCGCCUGCUCCGGGGUGUGCUGAUGCGCUGAGAUGCAAACGGCCUGUGUUACAGGCCUGCUGCGAACCCGACGAACUUGAUCCGGUUCAUACCGGCGGAAGAAGAGCCGACCCUCCCAGU
Non-coding RNA from Burkholderiales bacterium, 120 nucleotides. The record is from Rfam. NCBI's taxonomy places the organism in Bacteria, Pseudomonadati, Pseudomonadota, Betaproteobacteria, Burkholderiales.